GUGACUUGCACAACAGACCAAGGAAACUAGCAUAAAUAAUUUUUAGAAAGUGAUAAUUAAAAAAUGAUAUUUCAAUUAAUAUCAGUAAAAGCUUCCAUAAUGUGCUGUCACUACAUGUAAAAUUCCUAAGCAAUUUUAAGCCAACAUUCUUUAAAGAAGGAGCUAAAAUGCCUAUUAAAAAUAUGCAACUUAAAGAUGUAUGGAACUCCUUUAUUAUGUGCUAAAUGCUGUAAUAAAACAGGUUAUCAGUAGGUUUUGCUGCAUGUUACUAAUUUUAUUUUUUUUUUAAUCUUGGUAUUUUUGCAGGUGUGUGGAAGAACAAGUCCUGUUCUCGCUGUUGUUACUCCCACAUAGGCAGACUCUGUAAUUGAUUAUGUGUGGGUAGGGCCCUAUUGAAAUUCAGGAGAUUCUGCAGUAGUGCGGGGUUCUUUUUGUGACAGUUCAGUUGCAAGAUCAGGACCCUACUGUGACUCCUUACUGUGCAUUCUGUCACUGUCUCAUUGGUUGUACUGGAACCUGCCUGUUGGGAUAAUUACCAAAUACUAUAUUCCUCAAAACUUCUUAAUGGCACUGAGGCUUUGUGGAUAGUUGGUCACAUGAUGAGAAAAUUCAGCUAUUCUGUAGAUCACAUGGCUGGCAGAUACAGAAAUAAUUUCACAAAUGAAAAUGGAAGAAGAAAAAUCCAUGAAGAUUGUGUUGAAGGUUUGAUUCGUUUGACUUUCUCUAGGCGUAUGAGGGUGUCCAUGAUUAUCAUAUAUAUAUACAGAUGUAUUAUAUUCAUGUUAUACAUACAUAUAUUGUUGUAUAUAUGGAAAUGUGUAAAAAGCUGUAAAAGAGGAAUUUGAGUUCUGUGCAAGAGGUACUUCAACACAGGUUACAGGAUUUUUGUACAGUACUUAAAACAACUAGAAGAAAUAAUGAGAGUUAAUUCAGUACUGGAUCUGAUAGUGAUCAGGAAAAAAGGAGAUACUAGAUCUAACAUUAAGACCUUAUAACUGUACAAUACUUCUGGUUUAAUAAAAAGGCCAGAAAAAGUGUAAACA
RNAcentral lists this long non-coding RNA (1043 nucleotides) under Junco hyemalis (dark-eyed junco). RNAcentral describes it as "lncRNA (ENSJHYG00000016160.1)". Lineage: Eukaryota; Metazoa; Chordata; Aves; Passeriformes; Passerellidae. The record is from RNAcentral.